UACGUAGGGUGCAAGCGUUGUCCGGAAUUAUUGGGCGUAGAGAGCUCGUAGGCGGUCUGUCGCGUCGGCUGUGAAAACCUAGAGCUCAACCCUGGGCCUGCAGCCGAUACGGGCAGACUAGAAUUCGGUAGGGGAGACUGGAAUUCCUGGUGUAGUGGUGAAAUGCGCAGAUAUCAGGAGGAACACCGGUGGCGAAGGCGGGUCUCUGGGCCGAUAUUGACGCUGAGGAGCGAAAGCGUGGGGAGCGAACAGG
RNAcentral lists this ribosomal RNA (253 nucleotides) under uncultured bacterium. Its description in RNAcentral is "partial 16S ribosomal RNA". It matches the Rfam family "Bacterial small subunit ribosomal RNA", at positions 524 to 776 of the family's 1533-position model. The record is from RNAcentral.